AACAGAAAGACAUAGGUUUUUCUAGUGGCCAUCCCUUAAAGCUAUUCUUUUGGAGCAGACUUUAAAAGGCAAAUAUUUUCAAUCUUGACCACAUUGUGUGACAGAACUGACCUUUUUUUCAGGACUUUUUUUUAGGGAAGGGUCAUCUAGGAUUGAUUUAGACACAGUAUUCCCAUUUGGUUGCAGCUGAUUCAAUUCUGCGAUUGAAAUGUCUUACAUUUGGAGCUGACUGCUCUUCAAGCAUAUUUUUCUGUCUAGACAUAACCUACAUGGCAGAUGGCAGAAGCUCUGUAAAUAUCAGUUGUGCCUGCAAACCCUAAGGCAGUCUUGCAGGACACACCUGUCAUUUCCAUCAUGCUUACACGGAUAGCGUGUCACUCUCGGCCUCUCUCGGCCCUGCUCAGCAUCAAGCCCUGAAGAACUUCUGCUGCAAAAGGUAGCCACACUCAGUUUGUGCAUCAAACCAGUUGACUCUAUGAGGCUAUGUAGCACCUCGCCUGCUCACAAGGAGAAAUGGGCCAAGUGUUUGCAGUUUGCACUCCCAAAGAAGCUACAGUGUCAGCCCCUCAAUCUCCUCAACAUCCCUGGGCAUGCAUCUUUCCACAAAAGAGGGACCUAAGAGAAGAAGGAAAAGCAAGCAGUGACAAAUGUGAAGGGCAUCUCACAGCGCUCAGCUUUUCCACAGAAGAUGCCGCUGGGUAUUUCUUAUCGUCUCACACUAACACUGAUCUUUGGGACACAGAAAACUGGCUCUGUUUUGUGGCUGCCUUUAAACACAGCUCCGUGACCAAACCACGGUCAUCGUGCUCUUGGCGAGACACUGGCCAGAGAGUUAGGAGAGAAGCCACCAACUGGGAGAAAAUAUCUGAAUAAGACAUAGCUGAUAUAAGAUUUAC
This 896-nucleotide long non-coding RNA is filed under the name Chinchilla lanigera (long-tailed chinchilla). RNAcentral describes it as "lncRNA (ENSCLAG00000026618.1)". The record is from RNAcentral. Lineage: Eukaryota; Metazoa; Chordata; Mammalia; Rodentia; Chinchillidae.